Molecule: transfer RNA, 73 nt
Filed under: Stegodyphus dumicola
Lineage: Eukaryota; Metazoa; Arthropoda; Arachnida; Araneae; Eresidae
Description: tRNA-Ser
Rfam family: tRNA
About the family: Transfer RNA (tRNA) molecules are approximately 80 nucleotides in length. Their secondary structure includes four short double-helical elements and three loops (D, anti-codon, and T loops). Further hydrogen bonds mediate the characteristic L-shaped molecular structure. tRNAs have two regions of fundamental functional importance: the anti-codon, which is responsible for specific mRNA codon recognition, and the 3' end, to which the tRNAs corresponding amino acid is attached (by aminoacyl-tRNA synthetases). tRNAs cope with the degeneracy of the genetic code in two manners: having more than one tRNA (with a specific anti-codon) for a particular amino acid; and 'wobble' base-pairing, i.e. permitting non-standard base-pairing at the 3rd anti-codon position.
Source: RNAcentral
GCCUUCGUGGUGUAGUGGUCAGCGCGCUCGACGCGAAUUCGAGUGGUCCGUGGUUCGAAUCCCGGAGAGGGCA